Molecule: ribosomal RNA, 428 nt
Filed under: uncultured bacterium
Lineage: Bacteria
Description: bacterial SSU rRNA
Rfam family: Bacterial small subunit ribosomal RNA
Source: RNAcentral
GGGAAUAUUGGACAAUGGGGGGAACCCUGAUCCAGCCAUGCCGCGUGUGUGAAGAAGGCCUUAUGGUUGUAAAGCACUUUAAGCGAGGAGGAGGCUACUGAGGCUAAUAUUCUUGGAUAGUGGACGUUACUCGCAGAAUAAGCACCGGCUAACUCUGUGCCAGCAGCCGCGGUAAUACAGAGGGUGCGAGCGUUAAUCGGAUUUACUGGGCGUAAAGCGUGCGUAGGCGGCUUUUUAAGUCGGAUGUGAAAUCCCCGAGCUUAACUUGGGAAUUGCAUUCGAUACUGGGAAGCUAGAGUAUGGGAGAGGAUGGUAGAAUUCCAGGUGUAGCGGUGAAAUGCGUAGAGAUCUGGAGGAAUACCGAUGGCGAAGGCAGCCAUCUGGCCUAAUACUGACGCUGAGGUACGAAAGCAUGGGGAGCAAACAGG